RNAcentral lists this ribosomal RNA (444 nucleotides) under uncultured bacterium. Its description in RNAcentral is "partial 16S ribosomal RNA". It matches the Rfam family "Bacterial small subunit ribosomal RNA", at positions 339 to 795 of the family's 1533-position model. The record is from RNAcentral.
CUACGGGCUGCACCAGUGGGGAAUAUUGCACAAUGGGCGCAAGCCUGAUGCAGCAACGCCGCGUGAGGGGUGAAGGCCUUCGGGUUGUAAACCUCUUUUAGCAGGGAAGAAGCGAAAGUGACGGUACCUGCAGAAAAAGCACCGGCUAACUACGUGCCAGCAGCCGCGGUAAUACGUAGGGUGCAAGCGUUGUCCGGAAUUAUUGGGCGUAAAGAGCUCGUAGGCGGUUUGUCACGUCUGCUGUGAAAAUCCAAGGCUCAACCUUGGACUUGCAGUGGGUACGGGCAGGCUAGAGUGCGGUAGGGGAGAUGGGAAUUCCUGGUGUAGCGGUGGCAUGCGCAGAUAUCGGGAGGAACACCAAUGGCGAAGGCACAUCUCUGGGCCGUAACUGACGCUGAGGAGCGAAAGCGUGGGGAGCGAACAGGAUUAGAUACCCGCGUAGUC